ACACUCCUGCGGGAGGCAGCAGUGGGGAAUUUUGGACAAUGGGCGAAAGCCUGAUCCAGCAAUGCCGCGUGAGUGAAGAAGGCCUUCGGGUUGUAAAGCUCUUUUGUCAGGGAAGAAACGGUGAAAGCUAAUAUCUUUUGCUAAUGACGGUACCUGAAGAAUAAGCACCGGCUAACUACGUGCCAGCAGCCGCGGUAAUACGUAGGGUGCAAGCGUUAAUCGGAAUUACUGGGCGUAAAGCGUGCGCAGGCGGUUUUGUAAGUCUGAUGUGAAAUCCCCGGGCUCAACCGGGGAAUUGCAUUGGAGACUGCAAGUCUAGAAUCUGGCAGAGGGGGGUAGAAUUCCACGUGUAGCAGUGAAAUGCGUAGAUAUGUGGAGGAACACCGAUGGCGAAGGCAGCCCCCUGGGUCAAGAUUGACGCUCAUGCACGAAAGCGUGGGGAGCAAACAGGAUUAGAUACCCUUGUAGUCCC
RNAcentral lists this ribosomal RNA (472 nucleotides) under uncultured organism. RNAcentral's name for it is "partial 16S ribosomal RNA". It matches the Rfam family "Bacterial small subunit ribosomal RNA", at positions 333 to 797 of the family's 1533-position model. The record is from RNAcentral.